Molecule: unclassified non-coding RNA, 334 nt
Filed under: soil metagenome
Description: partial contains 5.8S ribosomal RNA, internal transcribed spacer 2, and large subunit ribosomal RNA
Rfam family: 5.8S ribosomal RNA (bases 1-120)
Source: RNAcentral
GAUGAAGAACGUAGCGAAAUGCGAUAAGUAAUGUGAAUUGCAGAAUUCAGUGAAUCAUCGAAUCUUUGAACGCACAUUGCGCCCGCCAGUAUUCUGGCGGGCAUGCCUGUUCGAGCGUCAUUUCAACCAUCAAGCCCCAGGCUUGUGUUGGGGACCUGCGGCUGCCGCAGGCCCUGAAAACCAGUGGCGGGCUCGCUGUCACACCGGGCGUAGUAGAUUUUAUCUCGCUCAGGGCGUGCUGCGGGUUCCGGCCGUUAAAAAGCCUUUUUUACCCAAGGUUGACCUCGGAUCAGGUAGGAAGACCCGCUGAACUUAAGCAUAUCAUAACGGAGGA